AUUGAACGCUGGCGGCACGCUUAACACAUGCAAGUCGAACGGCAGCAUGAAUUAACUUCGGUUAAUUUGAUGGCGAGUGGCGAACGGGUGAGUAACGCGUAGGAAUAUGCCUUAAAGAGGGGGAUAACUCGGGGAAACUCGGGCUAAUACCGCGUAAGCUCUACGGAGUAAAGUAUGGGACCUUCGGGCCAUACGCUUUAAGAAUAGCCUGCGUCCGAUUAGCUGGUUGGUGGGGUAAAGGCCUACCAAGGCGAUGAUCGGUAGCUGGUCUGAGAGGAUGGACAGCCACACUGGGACUGAGACACGGCCCAG
Molecule: ribosomal RNA, 312 nt
Filed under: uncultured bacterium
Lineage: Bacteria
Description: bacterial SSU rRNA
Rfam family: Bacterial small subunit ribosomal RNA
Source: RNAcentral